RNAcentral lists this ribosomal RNA (254 nucleotides) under uncultured bacterium. Its description in RNAcentral is "partial 16S ribosomal RNA". It matches the Rfam family "Bacterial small subunit ribosomal RNA", at positions 524 to 776 of the family's 1533-position model. The record is from RNAcentral.
UACGGAGGGUGCAAGCGUUUAUCCGGAUUCACUGGGUUUAAAGGGUGCGUAGGCGGGUAGGUAAGUCAGUGGUGAAAUCUUCGAGCUUAACUCGGAAACUGCCUUUGAUACUAUCUAUCUUGAAUAUUGUGGAGGUAAGCGGAAUAUGUCAUGUAGCGGUGAAAUGCUUAGAUAUGACAUAGAACACCUAUUGCGAAGGCAGCUUACUACGCAUAUAUUGACGCUGAGGCACGAAAGCGUGGGGAUCAAACAGG